AGAACAUGUUUUGAUCCCAGUUAUGGAAGGAACUGGUGCCGUUACCACUGAAAGUUUUCUCUUCUUUGACUGUGUGUGUUUCUCUCUUUUCAGUGCUAAGAAGUUAGUAACAGAAAUGAACACAACAAUGCUUGAAUGGAACUGCUAUAAAAACUGCAACUAAAAUCCACAUAUAUCUCAAUAUAACUUUUUGUUUUAGACCACAGAAGCCUCUUCAAGGUCAGAGAUCAGGGAUCAGAAGAAAGUAGUAUUGAGGCCAUUGAUUUCUUCCCUGGUUUUCUCUGUUAGGAAACUUCUGAACUGAAAAGAGCAGCAGUUGGGACUGAAAAACUGUCAGCACAAAAUGUUCUGUUACACAACUUGGGAGGAAUAUCUAUGAGAAACCCCAUGUUCCUUGCUGAGUGGUUUGAAAUUUCCUUACACUAUGGCCUGCUGUAAGUUUCUACUGGGGUGGCAAGAGAUCCAAAAAAUGGGUGCUCAGCGAGAUUGGAAGCAAGCCUGAAUUGACGCAAAUGGUGAAAAAGAAGAAAUUCAAGUACUAUGGUCACGUUUGAAUACCAGGAGGAGACAGUGGAGAAAAGGAUAUAAUAGAAAGUUGUGUGACAGGGAAGAGAAACAACAUAGAAGACCAGGAUUACAUACAAUACAUAAAAAUAUAAUGGGAAGGGAGACAGCAGAAAGCCAAGUGGAGAGUAUAUAUCCAUCAUGUCUCAACCAUCCUGAUGAAGAUGACACUUGAAUGCUUGUUAAUCUAUAGCUAUUGUUGGUGCCUAUCAAUACAAUCAUUAAAAAUCAGCUAA
Molecule: long non-coding RNA, 800 nt
Organism: Alligator mississippiensis (American alligator)
Lineage: Eukaryota; Metazoa; Chordata; Crocodylia; Alligatoridae
Exons: 3
Source: RefSeq, a predicted model, not a curated record